CCUGGUGGUUAGAGCGUGGUGGCCCCACCCGUUCCCAUUCCGAACACGGAAGUGAAACGCCACAGCGCUGACGAUACUCCCCGUGCGAACGGGCGUGGAAAAUAGGCCACCGCCAGGA
RNAcentral lists this ribosomal RNA (118 nucleotides) under Dehalococcoidia bacterium. The record is from RNAcentral. Lineage: Bacteria; Bacillati; Chloroflexota; Dehalococcoidia.